This is a long non-coding RNA of Daktulosphaira vitifoliae (grape phylloxera), 223 nucleotides long. RefSeq lists it as uncharacterized. The transcript is spliced from 3 exons. The record is from RefSeq and is a predicted model, not a curated record. Lineage: Eukaryota; Metazoa; Arthropoda; Insecta; Hemiptera; Phylloxeridae.
CAUGUGGUGUCCAAGGAGAAGACCAAAAUGAAGGACAGAGAUGCUCUGUCUGUUACGUAAAUAAUCCGAAUACACCUAUAGGAGAAUGUGAACAUAAAUUUUGCAUAAAUUGUAUAGAUAAUUGGAAAUUUAAUAAGAGAACCUACCGUUGUCCUUUGUGCAAUCAUGUAUACGAUAACCUUGACUUUAUAGCUAAUGAAUUGUCUGCUUAUUUGAGAAGUAA